UAGCCUAACGGCUGAACCAGCAACUUGGAGGAAUGUAUAGGAAUAGUAUUUGCACUAACAAAUAGUUGAUGCAAACUCGACUCAGUCGAAUAAAAUUCUAGGUAGAAUUAUGAUAAUGACAUUGUCUGCCUAUGUGUCUUGACCAAAUUACGUGCCAGCAGUCGCGGUAAUACGUAGAAGACUAGUGUUAUUCAUCUUUAAUAGGUUUAAAGGGUACCUAGACGGUAAAUCAAGCCUUCAAGGGGACUAAUUUACUAGAGUUACUUGUGAGGGGGUAUUAAAGUACUGCUGGUGUAGAGAUGAAAUUCUUUUAUACCUCUUUCUGGAAGGAAAAUAACGGCACAGGUAUAGGCGAAAGCAUCCCCUUAUGUGAUAACUGACGUUGAAGGACGAAGGCUUUGUGUAGCGAACAGGAUUAGAUACCCCAGUAGUCAAAGGAGAAAAUGAUGAAUGUCAUAGAUUAGACAUAUAAUGGUUUAUUCUAUAAAUGAAAGUGUAAGCAUUCCACCUCAAGAGUAAUUUGGCAACAUUGGAACUGAAAUCAUUAGACCGUUUCUGAAACCAGUAGUGAAGUAUGUUGUUUAAUUUGAUAAUCCGCAAAAAACCUUACCACAAUUUGAAUAUUUAUAUUUUCUUUAAGAUAAAGAUAUAUUUACAAGCGUUGCACGGCUGUCUACAGUUAAUGCCGUGAGAUUCUGGUUAGUUCCAUUAAUUAACGUAAACCCUUACUUUAUUUUUAUAUAUAGUAGUUCUCCGCAAGAUUGGAUAAGAUAACAGGGACUAAGACAAGUCAUCAUGGCCUGAAUAUUGUGGGCUAUAGACGUGCCACAUAAACCUUACAAAAGGAUGUGAAAUUGUGAAAUUGAGCUAAUCCUCCAAAAUUGGAUAUACACUAACAA
RNAcentral lists this ribosomal RNA (899 nucleotides) under Adelolecia pilati. RNAcentral's name for it is "SSU rRNA". It matches the Rfam family "Bacterial small subunit ribosomal RNA", at positions 372 to 1299 of the family's 1533-position model. Lineage: Eukaryota; Fungi; Ascomycota; Lecanoromycetes; Lecanorales; Lecanoraceae. The record is from RNAcentral.